UACAUAGGUGGCAAGCGUUGUCCGGAAUGACUGGGCGUAAAGGGAGCGUAGGCGGUUUGAUAAGUUAUAUGUGAAAGCCCUUGGCUUAACCAAGGAAAUGCAUAUAAUACUGUUAGACUUGAGUAUGGGAGAGGAAGAUGGAAUUUUUAGUGUAGCGGUAAAAUGCUUAGAUAUUAGAAAGAACACCGGAGGCGAAGGCGGUCUUCUGGCCCAAUACUGACGCUGAGGCUCGAAAGCGUGGGGAGCAAACAGGAUUAGAUACCCUGGUAGUCCACGCCCUAAACGAUGAAUACUAGACGUAGGAGGUAUCGACUCCUCCUGUGUCGCAGCAAACGCGAUAAGCAUUCCGCCUGAGUACUACGACCGCAAGGUUAAA
Molecule: ribosomal RNA, 376 nt
Filed under: uncultured bacterium
Lineage: Bacteria
Description: bacterial SSU rRNA
Rfam family: Bacterial small subunit ribosomal RNA
Source: RNAcentral